AUACGUAGGGUGCGAGCGUUGUCCGGAAUUACUGGGCGUAAAGAGCUCGUAGGUGGUUUGUCGCGUCGUCUGUGAAAUUCCGGGGCUUAACUCCGGGCGUGCAGGCGAUACGGGCAUAACUUGAGUACUGUAGGGGAGACUGGAAUUCCUGGUGUAGAGGUGAAAUGCGCAGAUAUCAGGAGGAACACCGGUGGCGAAGGGGGGUCUCUGGGCAGUAACUGACGCUGAGGAGCGAAAGCAUGGGUAGCGAACAGGAUUAGAUACCCUGGUAGUCCAUGCCGUAAACGGUGGGCGCUAGGUGUAGGGGUCUUCCACGACUUCUGUGCCGUAGCUAACGCAUUAAGCGCCCCGCCUGGGGAGUACGGCCGCAAGGCUAAAACUCAAAUGAAUUGACGGGG
This 398-nucleotide ribosomal RNA is filed under the name uncultured bacterium. RNAcentral describes it as "partial 16S ribosomal RNA". It matches the Rfam family "Bacterial small subunit ribosomal RNA", at positions 523 to 918 of the family's 1533-position model. The record is from RNAcentral.